UUGUGACAAGCUCAUUCCUUGCACACUGCACAAGAAGAAGAUAACCCAACUUAAAGUAGAGCUUGCUCCUCAUAUAGCCACACAACACCUGUACGUGACAACGCAAAAUUUUGAACCGAAACAAAAGAAAGAUAUCGCAGAACUUUUGAACCACGGAAAAAAAAAAGAAGAAGAAAAAGACAGCGUACAAAUUUUGAAACCCCGCCCCCGCACGCAAAAAAAAAAAAAAAAAACAAAGACAACGAAGAAUCUUUUAAUAAAAAUAACAAGGGAUUUUUACACUCUAUGUUAAUCAAGGCAAAAUAAUUAUCCGAUUUAGCCCACACUUUUUUACCCGUUUUGGCCGUUGGAGGUCCAUCUCCUUUAUCUUCCCUGCUAGACUCCAUCCGUUGGCUUUCGUUCUCACCACCAAUAAAGCAUCCUUUGAGAAGCUCAUUUUUUAGCUUUCAAGUAUAUCAUUUUUCACCCAAAACACCAGUCAAUAAUCGCACCCACCACCAUUAAAGCACCAUGUGAGAAACUCGUUUUUCAGCAUCAUCAUUGAGCUAUCUAGUGCAAUAGUAUUUUAAAGAUUUUGUGACAAAUGAUAUUAUUACUUGGAGAAGUGGCAAGUUAAAUUUUGUGUUGCAAAUUGCAUGGAAAGAUUUUGACACCUAAGUGACCAAGUGUCAUGUAGUGGCUUCAUGAAUCAAUGUGGCAAAGGAAGAAUUAUCCGGGUGGCCAGGGAGACAGGCUUGAUCCAUAGCUUUAUUACUCAGGGACUACAUAGCGGAGCUCCAUUUCAUUUGGAGCUACAGCUUUUGGUAUUUAUUAUUUUGUGUACAUAUUUACGGGCAUGGCGGGGUCCUGUCCCGCCUAUAUGAUAUGACAUACUCUCCUUAGAGGCUCGUAGACAUGUAAUAUGGUUGGGUGUAUUUGGCCUUGUCGGCCUAUAUUUUGGAUAUCAUUUUGUUAGCUUCGUCGGGUUAUGUACAUUGAUAUGGGCAUAGUUGCUAAUGAUGAUAUAAAUGUAUUGUUGCCUAA
Molecule: long non-coding RNA, 1023 nt
Organism: Lycium barbarum (goji berry)
Lineage: Eukaryota; Viridiplantae; Streptophyta; Magnoliopsida; Solanales; Solanaceae
Exons: 2
Source: RefSeq, a predicted model, not a curated record